GAGCGCCCGGGCCCGGGCGGCGGGGCGUGCGAACCGCGGGGCGGAGAGCCGAGCUCGGGGCCGGUGCGGCGCGAGCUCAAGCAGUUCCUGGGCUGGCUCAAGAAGCACGCGUACUGCUCCAACCUCAGCUUCCGCCUCUACGACCAGUGGCGAGCCUGGAUGCAGAAGUCGCACAAGACCCGCAACCAGGGGAAGGCUUCAACCCAAUUCGUGAAGGUAUCAACACAGGCUAGUUUAGCGGCGGAAGGACUCGUCAGUAUCUCCUGAUGGAAUAAGUACCCUUUGGCAUCAUCUUGCUAGAUCCAUCUUCCCUGAAGGCGGUCCCACCCUCUUCCACGGCAGCCAGGUCCUGAUCUGCACAGGCUGCUCCUGCUGCCAGCCUGGAUGGGAAGCCAUCCCCUACAACACACAUGCCUUCCUGUCGCAGCCUCUCUCCUCUCUAACUCCAAGCUGGAGCACCCAACACUCUUAGCUUCCUUCUCAAUUACACCAAAACUCUCCAGACCCCACUUCUUGCCUUGACCCCAAACCACGAACAUCACUUAGUAUCUACCAACCACCUGCCAAGCAUUGUUCACAUAUAAAAGUUGACUUAAAAAGACAAAGAAUCGACCGGGCGCAGGGGCUCAUGCCUGUAAUCCCAGCACUUUGGAAGGCCGAGGCAGACGGAUCAUUUGAGGUCAAGAGUUCAAGAUGAGCCUGGCUAACAUGGUGAAACUCCGUCUCUACUAAAACUACAAAAAUCAACUGGGCGUGGUGGCAGGCGCCUAUAAUCCCAGCUACUCGGGAGGCUGAGGCAGAAGAAUCGCUCGAGCCCGGGAGGUGGAGAUUGCAGUGAGCCGAGACCGCACCACUGAACUCCAGCUUAGGCGACAGAGCAAGACUCCAUCUGAAAAAAAUACAAAUAGUCUAAAGAAAAGUCUAAAAAGCAGACACUACCACCAGCUCCUCCUUACAGACGUAGUAAUGGAGCCAGGUAUGAAGACUCAGCUCGAGAAAUUUAGUAUUUCCAAAGCGACUGACGCAGUGACUGGCAGAGUUAACGCUACACGCUCAAUACCCCUCUCUCAUUAACUCGGAUCUGCCCCGAGGACCUCUUCCCGCCCGAGGCCUCGUGGGGUCACGCUGGCAGGCAGAGCAGGCAGGCUCCUCUCCAAAACGGCGCUCGCCUCCUGGGCCCCGGUCUGGGCUCCGAGCCGUGGCCUCGCGAGCCCUGCCCAGCCACCCUGCCGAGACUGGCCCGCAUGAGCCAGCUCAGGGCCGCCUCUUCUGCCGCCCAGGCCCCUGCAGCCUCCCGCAGCCCCCAACCCGCUCUCGGCCCGGCGCGAACCCGCACGACCGCCGCCACCAACCAGCUCGGCCGCCUCGCUGAAGAAAAAGAAGAUAGCGGAACCGGAAACCACCUAAUCGCCGCCGAAAGCGCUUGCGCACGGAGCACGCCGGACGCCUGCGUCACAAUUCGCGCCGCGCCUUGGGCCCCGCCCUGCCGCCAUCUUGGAUGCUGGCGAACGAAGCCGCAGCGCACGUGGGUGAAGGUCGCCCACCCGCUUCCGGUUGUGGGCCCCGCCCGCCGAGUCACUUGAGACGAUUGCACCUCUCCCCGUGUUUGCGUCCGCUGCCUCUAGGCCACUGACAACCGCUGGCGGUUGGCGGGCCCUCAGCGAAUAGCUGAACGGAGUAGAGGAGAAUGUUUUCUAAUAA
This 1701-nucleotide long non-coding RNA is filed under the name Homo sapiens (human). RNAcentral's name for it is "non-protein coding lnc-CRLF1-2:1". The record is from RNAcentral. Lineage: Eukaryota; Metazoa; Chordata; Mammalia; Primates; Hominidae.